UACGGGGGGGGCAAGCGUUGUUCGGAAUUACUGGGCGUAAAGGGCUCGUAGGCGGCCAACUAAGUCAGACGUGAAAUCCCUCGGCUUAACCGGGGAACUGCGUCUGAUACUGGAUGGCUUGAGAUUGGGAGAGGGAGACUGGAAUUCCUGGUGUAGCGGUGAAAUGCGCAGAUAUCGGGAGGAACACCUGUGGCGAAAGCGGCUCACUGGACAGUAACUGACGCUGAUGCACGAAAGCUAGGGGAGCAAACAGG
This 254-nucleotide ribosomal RNA is filed under the name uncultured bacterium. RNAcentral describes it as "partial 16S ribosomal RNA". It matches the Rfam family "Bacterial small subunit ribosomal RNA", at positions 524 to 776 of the family's 1533-position model. The record is from RNAcentral.